Molecule: ribosomal RNA, 520 nt
Filed under: uncultured Diversispora
Lineage: Eukaryota; Fungi; Glomeromycota; Glomeromycetes; Diversisporales; Diversisporaceae
Description: SSU rRNA
Rfam family: Eukaryotic small subunit ribosomal RNA
Source: RNAcentral
AGCAGCCGCGGUAAUUCCAGCUCCAAUAGCGUAUAUUAAAGUUGUUGCAGUUAAAAAGCUCGUAGUUGAACUUCGGGGUUUACCCAUUGGUCAGGCUUAAUUGUCUGUACUGGUGAGAUAAAUCUCUACCUUCUGAGGAACUUUCAUGUCAUUAAUUUGGUGUGAUUGGAAAUUAGGACUGUUACUUUGAAAAAUUAGAGUGUUUAAAGCAGGCUAACGUCUGAAUACAUUAGCAUGGAAUAAUGAAAUAGGACGGACUGAUUCUAUUUCGUUGGUUUCUAGGAUCACCGUAAUGAUUAAUAGGGAUAGUUGGGGGCAUUAGUAUUCAAUUGUCAGAGGUGAAAUUCUUGGAUUUAUUGAAGACUAACUACUGCGAAAGCAUUUGCCAAGGAUGUUUUCAUUAAUCAAGAACGAAAGUUAGGGGAUCGAAGACGAUCAGAUACCGUCGUAGUCUUAACCAUAAACUAUGCCGACUAGGGAUCGGACGAAGUUAAUUUUAUAAUGACGCGUUCGGCACCUU